GAUGAACGCUGGCGGCGUGCCUAAUACAUGCAAGUCGAGCGAACAGACGAGGAGCUUGCUCCUCUGACGUUAGCGGCGGACGGGUGAGUAACACGUGGAUAACCUACCUAUAAGACUGGGAUAACUUCGGGAAACCGGAGCUAAUACCGGAUAAUAUAUUGAACCGCAUGGUUCAAUAGUGAAAGACGGUUUUGCUGUCACUUAUAGAUGGAUCCGCGCCGCAUUAGCUAGUUGGUAAGGUAACGGCUUACCAAGGCAACGAUGCGUAGCCGACCUGAGAGGGUGAUCGGCCACCCUGGAACUGAGACACGGUCCAGACUCCUACGGGAGGCAGCAGUAGGGAAUCUUCCGCAAUGGGCGAAAGCCUGAAGGAGCAACGCCGCGUGAGUGAUGAAGGUCUUCGGAUCGUAAAACUCUGUUAUUAGGGAAGAACAAAUGUGUAAGUAACUAUGCACGUCUUGACGGUACCUAAUCAGAAAGCCACGGCUAACUACGUG
This 497-nucleotide ribosomal RNA is filed under the name uncultured bacterium. RNAcentral describes it as "partial 16S ribosomal RNA". It matches the Rfam family "Bacterial small subunit ribosomal RNA", at positions 28 to 507 of the family's 1533-position model. The record is from RNAcentral.